CCUACGGGAGGCAGCAGUGGGGAAUUUUGGACAAUGGACGCAAGUCUGAUCCAGCAAUGCCGCGUGCAGGACGAAGGCCUUCGGGUUGUAAACUGCUUUUGUACGGAACGAAACGGUCUGCUUUAAUACAGUGGACUAAUGACGGUACCGUAAGAAUAAGCACCGGCUAACUACGUGCCAGCAGCCGCGGUAAUACGUAGGGUGCGAGCGUUAAUCGGAAUUACUGGGCGUAAAGCGUGCGCAGGCGGUUAUAUAAGUCAGAUGUGAAAUCCCCGGGCUCAACCUGGGGCCUGCAUUUGAGACUGUAUAGCUAGAGUACGGUAGAGGGGGAUGGAAUUCCGCGUGUAGCAGUGAAAUGCGUAGAUAUGCGGAGGAACACCGAUGGCGAAGGCAAUCCCCUGGACCUGUACUGACGCUCAUGCACGAAAGCGUGGGGAGCAAACAGGAUUAGAUACCCUGGUAGUCCACGCCCUAAACGAUGUCAACUGGUUGUUGGGUCUUCACUGACUCAGUAACGAAGCUAACGCGUGAAGUUGACCGCCUGGGGAGUACGGCCGCAAGGUUGAAACGUCAAAGGAAUUGACGGCUGAGAGNGCGAGACGACGACGAGGGAGGAGG
Molecule: ribosomal RNA, 618 nt
Filed under: uncultured bacterium
Lineage: Bacteria
Description: bacterial SSU rRNA
Rfam family: Bacterial small subunit ribosomal RNA
Source: RNAcentral